Molecule: long non-coding RNA, 397 nt
Filed under: Equus caballus (horse)
Lineage: Eukaryota; Metazoa; Chordata; Mammalia; Perissodactyla; Equidae
Description: lncRNA (ENSECAG00000054377.1)
Source: RNAcentral
GGCCUGAGCUUUCCUGCUAUCAGUUGAUUGGAAAUUCCACCUAAAUGUGUCCUUGCCUUAUCCUGUUCUGAUGUACGUGUCUUCUGAUCAAGGGACACCAGGAGACAGACAGCAGGUGAUGGGCAUGCCAAAGAGAAAAAGAAGUCUUCACACAACCAGUGACGCAGGUCUGUCAUCGAUUUCUGACCUCUCAGAUAUAAGAAGAAAUAUCUUGAGGACUUCUGGGAAGGAUUUCACCUCUAAUAAAAAAAGACAAGGACUUUUUUGCCCUUUUCCUCUACCUUCCUACUCUGGAAACUUUCAAAUAAGUAUGGGCUAUCUAGAGCUGCAGCAGCUAUUUACAACUAUGAGGAGACAAGCCAGGUGAUGAAAUUCAAUACCCUUAAGGAAGGCAGAG